AUUUGAAUUUGGGAUGGCUCAGAGCCAUAUGAGGCUCCAAUGAGUUCAUGUAUGGUGGAUUGAUGUAUUAUCGAGAGAUUAAGUUUUCGAUCGCUCCUCUAUUAGUUUAGACAUAUUGAAGGCAAGGAUGAAUUUUGAGAGAAGGUGAGCAUGAGUUAAGAGAAUUUUAAUUUGAGGGUCCUCAUAUCAAUUGUGUUGUUAGGGGUAUUCGGAAAAUGAAAUCGAGUCGGUUCGGCUUGAAUAUGUCCAUCAAUAUUUCGAUCUCGAAGACUAUUAAUG
RNAcentral lists this long non-coding RNA (279 nucleotides) under Musa acuminata (dwarf banana). RNAcentral describes it as "long non-coding RNA (MACU_LNC003094)". Lineage: Eukaryota; Viridiplantae; Streptophyta; Magnoliopsida; Zingiberales; Musaceae. The record is from RNAcentral.